AGGAGGUUUGCUUAGAAGCAGCAAUCCUUUAAAGAGUGCGUAAUAGCUCACUAGUCGAGUGACACUGCGCCGAAAAUGUACCGGGGCUAAACAUAUUACCGAAGCUGUGGAUUGUCCUUUGGACAAUGGUAGGAGAGCGUUCUAAGGGCGUUGAAGCAUGAUCGCAAGGACAUGUGGAGCGCUUAGAAGUGAGAAUGCCGGUGUGAGUAGCGAAAGACGGGUGAGAAUCCCGUCCACCGAUUGACUAAGGUUUCCAGAGGAAGGCUCGUCCGCUCUGGGUUAGUCGGGUCCUAAGCUGAGGCCGACAGGCGUAGGCGAUGGAUAACAGGUUGAUAUUCCUGUACCACCUAGUAUCGUUUUAAUCGAUGGGGGGACGCAGUAGGAUAGGCGAAGCGUGCUGUUGGAGUGCACGUCCAAGCAGUAAGGCUGAGUGUUAGGCAAAUCCGGCACUCUUAAGAUUGAGCUGUGAUGGGGAGAGGAAAUUGUUUCCUCGAGUCGUUGAUUUCACACUGCCGAGAAAAGCCUCUAGAUAGAUAACAGGUGCC
RNAcentral lists this ribosomal RNA (545 nucleotides) under Thalassiosira minuscula. RNAcentral's name for it is "partial Bacterial large subunit ribosomal RNA". It matches the Rfam family "Bacterial large subunit ribosomal RNA", at positions 1095 to 1642 of the family's 2925-position model. Lineage: Eukaryota; Bacillariophyta; Thalassiosirophyceae; Thalassiosirales; Thalassiosiraceae. The record is from RNAcentral.